This 253-nucleotide ribosomal RNA is filed under the name uncultured bacterium. RNAcentral describes it as "partial 16S ribosomal RNA". It matches the Rfam family "Bacterial small subunit ribosomal RNA", at positions 524 to 776 of the family's 1533-position model. The record is from RNAcentral.
UACGUAGGGUGCAAGCGUUGUCCGGAAUUAUUGGGCGUAAAGAGCUCGUAGGCGGUUUGUUGCGUCGGCUGUGAAAUCCCGAGGCUUAACCUGGGAACUGCAUUCGAGACUGCAUUGCUAGAGUAUGGGAGAGGGAAGUGGAAUUUCCGGUGUAGCGGUGAAAUGCGUAGAUAUCGGAAGGAACAUCAGUGGCGAAAGCGACUUCCUGGACCAAUACUGACGCUCAUGUGCGAAAGCGUGGGGAGCAAACAGG